GAUGAACGCUGGCGGCGUGCCUAAUACAUGCAAGUCGAGCGAGCAGACGAGGAGCUUGCUCCUCUGACGUUAGCGGCGGACGGGUGAGUAACACGUGGAUAACCUACCUAUAAGACUGGGAUAACUUCGGGAAACCGGAGCUAAUACCGGAUAAUAUAUUGAACCGCAUGGUUCAAUAGUGAAAGACGGUUUUGCUGUCACUUAUAGAUGGAUCCGCGCCGCAUUAGCUAGUUGGUAAGGUAACGGCUUACCAAGGCAACGAUGCGUAGCCGACCUGAGAGGGUGAUCGGCCACACUGGGACUGAGACACGGUCCAGACUCCUACGGGAGGCAGCAGUAGGGAAUCUUCCGCAAUGGGCGAAAGCCUGACGGAGCAACGCCGCGUGAGUGAUGAAGGUCUUCGGAUCGUAAAACUCUGUUAUUAGGGAAGAACAAAUGUGUAAGUAACUAUGCACGUCUUGACGGUACCUAAUCAGAAAGCCACGGCUAACUACGUG
RNAcentral lists this ribosomal RNA (497 nucleotides) under uncultured bacterium. RNAcentral describes it as "partial 16S ribosomal RNA". It matches the Rfam family "Bacterial small subunit ribosomal RNA", at positions 28 to 507 of the family's 1533-position model. The record is from RNAcentral.